This 1078-nucleotide long non-coding RNA is filed under the name Aquilegia coerulea. RNAcentral's name for it is "long non-coding RNA (ACOE_LNC001949)". The record is from RNAcentral. Lineage: Eukaryota; Viridiplantae; Streptophyta; Magnoliopsida; Ranunculales; Ranunculaceae.
UUUAUUAGUUUGAUUCUUCUAAGACCCAAGCCACGUAGCUGCUUCUUUUCACACCUGCCAAUUGACAAGAUGAUAUUUUAGUAAGUUUGUAAAACAAAUUUGUUUGUGGGUUAAAAAUAGGACACAGAGAAUAUGUUGAAUUUAGUUUAGCCUAGCAUACAUUUUGUAUUUCAAUUUAUCUUCAAGUAAGCAGAAAAUUAUUGCUUGUAAGGGUAAGCAUCCAUGGACUGCGACUCCCUUUUUCUGCACAAACUCUAUAAACCCCAACACAAACAGAUAUAAACAUCCUAUAUCCAUGCCAUCACCAGCAUUGAUCAAUUUAGUCAGCUUUAUAUUUUAUGUUUUAAUUUGUCCUAUGAAUACAAAUUUCUGAAUUUAAUCAACUAGGUAUACGGGAACAACAUGUCAAUUUCCACAUACACCACAAAGAAAGCCUUCAUUGAUGUUAUCGCAUGCGUUAUGGACAUGUACAUAACUAAAUCUUAAAAUUAAUACAGAUAUCUGUAGGCGAGGUUGUCUACAUAUGUGCAAACAAUCCAUGUCGUCUCAUUUCUGCAAGCACAUCUCUCUACAACAUCAGAUCCAUAUGACUAGCUACAAGUAUUUAAGUUAAUAAUUUGUAGGAAAACUUAACCUAUAGGCAACUAGUGCAGUCACCGGGAACUUAUUGCUAUAGCUAGGGCAUAGAGACUGACCAAUUAUCCAUACGCAGAUUUCUUUUUGAGACAAGCAAGUACUAUCUUUUAAUGUAUUCCUUAAAUCAUAAAUCAGCUUCAGUAUUGCAACUUAGCGUCGCUCAAUGGUCAAUUGAGACAACGACGUGUUUCUUUAAGUUCUAAUUUGAUCACUUAACUCCAAAGAUAGGAACAUAACUAUAGAGUCAGGGAACUCACCUUCACGGGGCUGGGCAAUUCAGCUUUCGAUAUUCGAUUUGGAGAUGUCCAUUCUUUCUUCAACCGGUUCAAUAUGUCUUCGAUUGUGUACUCCUGCUCCCUGUUUGCAAGCAUUGGGAAUUGACUUCGCUCAACCUGGUAACUAGCUUAUCCAUAAGCUAAUCAUAGUAAUUCAAGCCUCAAGG